UCGAGAAUCUUUCGCAAUGGGGGAAACCCUGACGAAGCGACGCCGCGUGCGGGAAGAAGGCCUUCGGGUUGUAAACCGCUUUGAGCAGGGGCGAAGGCCGGGGCGUGAAUAGCGCCUUCGGUUUGACGGUACCUGCAGAACAAGCCACGGCUAACUCUGUGCCAGCAGCCGCGGUAAGACAGCGGUGGCAAGCGUUGUUCGGAUUUACUGGGCGUAAAGGGGGUCUAGGUGGUUCGUUAUGUCUGUCGUGAAAUCCCGGAGCUUAACUCCGGAACUGCGGGAGAAACUGGCGAACUUGAGCGCGUGAUACGUAAGCGGAAUACGGGGUGUAGCGGUGAAAUGCGUAGAUAUCCAGUAGAACACCUGCGGCGAAAGCGGCUUACGAGCGCGUUGCUGACACUGAAGCCCGAAAGCGUGGGGAUCAAACA
RNAcentral lists this ribosomal RNA (428 nucleotides) under uncultured prokaryote. Its description in RNAcentral is "bacterial SSU rRNA". It matches the Rfam family "Bacterial small subunit ribosomal RNA", at positions 355 to 774 of the family's 1533-position model. The record is from RNAcentral.